UUUACUUUUCUCUUGGAGAAAAAGGAGACCUUGAAUAAAAAAUCCUUCUCUUGAUGGCUUGAAGCUCCAUCUUUCCUUACUCUUUCUUUUUUGAAGCUAGCUAGGCUGUUGCAGGUAGUAGGUGCGGCGGUGUGGCAGUGUGCUGAGCAUUUACUACUGUUCUCUCUAUUGCAUUUCCUUUCAGUUCAUGUUGUUAGUUAGCCUUGCUGCACUCCGAUGGUUGAGUGGCGAAGUGUCCCUCCUCGAGAUCGUCACGGCGGUUGUCACGUUCCGUGGGCCAGCGGGGCGGGGUGUGACACUCAGAGUCAAGAAUCCAUGAUGCAUCAGUAAAAAAAAUUCAGUUGGAGGGUGUAAAACUUAAGUUAUUUAAAAUUUCCUCAUCCAAUUUGCUGCCAAAGUUGUAUAUUCUUUAA
Dioscorea cayenensis subsp. rotundata (Guinea yam) is the source of this 413-nucleotide long non-coding RNA. RefSeq lists it as uncharacterized. The transcript has 3 exons. NCBI's taxonomy places the organism in Eukaryota, Viridiplantae, Streptophyta, Magnoliopsida, Dioscoreales, Dioscoreaceae. The record is from RefSeq and is a predicted model, not a curated record.